UUCUGGCACAUGAAUUGCCAAAAAUGCACCAAAUUUAUUAACAGGCACUCUUCUCACUAAAUUAAGUGCAUUUUCCACACCAGACUGGUAUAUAAAACACCAAUUCCUCCCACAGUGUUAAGCGACACAUUGUGACUGCCUGCAGCCGCCACUAGGGGGAGCUUACUGCAUACUGUGAUAUUGAAUUCAAUGGAUGAACUGUAUGCUGCACAGCUCCCUCUAGUGGUGACUGGCAUCUGAGGGAUCACUCUCCCUCCUUUUGAAUAUUUUCUGAGUCACUUACUGUGCAUUCAUUUUUAC
Molecule: long non-coding RNA, 300 nt
Organism: Bufo bufo (common toad)
Lineage: Eukaryota; Metazoa; Chordata; Amphibia; Anura; Bufonidae
Exons: 3
Source: RefSeq, a predicted model, not a curated record